Molecule: transfer RNA, 72 nt
Filed under: Candidatus Nomurabacteria bacterium
Lineage: Bacteria; Candidatus Nomuraibacteriota
Also listed under: 1 other name
Description: tRNA-Phe
Rfam family: tRNA
About the family: Transfer RNA (tRNA) molecules are approximately 80 nucleotides in length. Their secondary structure includes four short double-helical elements and three loops (D, anti-codon, and T loops). Further hydrogen bonds mediate the characteristic L-shaped molecular structure. tRNAs have two regions of fundamental functional importance: the anti-codon, which is responsible for specific mRNA codon recognition, and the 3' end, to which the tRNAs corresponding amino acid is attached (by aminoacyl-tRNA synthetases). tRNAs cope with the degeneracy of the genetic code in two manners: having more than one tRNA (with a specific anti-codon) for a particular amino acid; and 'wobble' base-pairing, i.e. permitting non-standard base-pairing at the 3rd anti-codon position.
Source: RNAcentral
GCCUAGGUAGCUCAGUAGUAGAGCGUUCCCCUGAAGAGGGACAGGUCGGGUGUGCGAUUCACCCCCUAGGCA